Molecule: long non-coding RNA, 603 nt
Organism: Equus caballus (horse)
Lineage: Eukaryota; Metazoa; Chordata; Mammalia; Perissodactyla; Equidae
Source: RefSeq, a predicted model, not a curated record
GCAGCGCCGGCCGAGCGGCGACCCCAGCGGGGGCACGCAGCAGUCCGUGAGUCCCCGGGCGCCUCCGCGCCCUCCUGGAUCCCUCCUUCGGGGAGUUAGAUAGUGAACGCGGCCAGAGACGGACAUGCAUUGUUUCAGAGAGCGCUAGAUGCUGAGAAACGAACUUUUUGAAAAGUAAUGGGCCAGAGCGUGGGGACACGGGAGCUAGGCAGUCCCGGAGGGCGUAAGGAGACGACUUUAGAGCUGAGACCUGGAUGGCCUCUCGGAAGAAGAACUUGAGCGUCGGUCCUGCUAUCCUCCACGUCAGCCUCUGCCUCAUUCUGCAGAGCCGACCCUGAUGAUGCAGAAACAGAAACGUCAACCUAAAUUCCCCAGGGGGUGCGAUUUGACAGUCUAGCAGUCCACCCCAGGACUCACAGCAGUGCAAGACAGAUCUCUUCCUACAAGAGAAAUGACGACGUCCUGCACCAGAAGUCACGCACCGAUGGCCCGCAAGCCACAUGGGGUUUGGAGACGUGCUUUGUCUAGGGCGUACGGUGUUUGUAGGUGCUUCUUUGUUUUAUGUUGGCCCAAAUUUAAAAAUCAAGUGAUUUCACAGACAAA